Molecule: long non-coding RNA, 413 nt
Filed under: Equus caballus (horse)
Lineage: Eukaryota; Metazoa; Chordata; Mammalia; Perissodactyla; Equidae
Description: lncRNA (ENSECAG00000048570.1)
Source: RNAcentral
CACACAUGUACCCAUUGUCCCAAAGCCAUGUCCUCCAAAGCAAGAUUGGCCAAAGGCUUCCGAUGACAGCCAGAUGAAGACCUACCUGCAGAUCUUCCCCGGGAGGCCCGUGAUGCUUUGUCCCGCCGACAGACCUCAGCCAAGGCCAUCAAAACCAUCACAAGUAACUUGUAGCAUUGACUCAACAGCUCCACAGCGGCUGGAAAGUGCCCCAGUCACCAUCCACCCUACUGUCCUUGUUUUACAUGACACGAAAACCUCCUUGAAGAGAAGUGCCCAAGCUUCUGAAACCACUGAAGAGCACUUGCAGCCGGCAGCCAGGCAUCACACAGAAGCCACACGGCAUGGCCAGGUGAAGGAGGAUGAGGGUUUGGACCAAGGUAGGAGCAGUGAACAUGGAAAAUGGAAAUGAG